RNAcentral lists this transfer RNA (71 nucleotides) under Thermophagus xiamenensis. RNAcentral's name for it is "Anaerophaga sp. HS1 tRNA". It matches the Rfam family "tRNA". Rfam says of the family: Transfer RNA (tRNA) molecules are approximately 80 nucleotides in length. Their secondary structure includes four short double-helical elements and three loops (D, anti-codon, and T loops). The record is from Rfam by way of RNAcentral. Lineage: Bacteria; Pseudomonadati; Bacteroidota; Bacteroidia; Marinilabiliales; Marinilabiliaceae.
UGUCCCGUGGUGUAAUGGUAGCACAGGAGAUUUUGGUUCUCUUAGUCUGGGUUCGAAUCCUAGCGGGACAA